Molecule: ribosomal RNA, 492 nt
Filed under: uncultured bacterium
Lineage: Bacteria
Description: partial 16S ribosomal RNA
Rfam family: Bacterial small subunit ribosomal RNA
Source: RNAcentral
AGUGAACGCUGGCGGUAGGCCUAACACAUGCAAGUCGAACGGCAGCACAGUAAGAGCUUGCUCUUACGGGUGGCGAGUGGCGGACGGGUGAGGAAUACAUCGGAAUCUACUUUUUCGUGGGGGAUAACGUAGGGAAACUUACGCUAAUACCGCAUACGACCUACGGGUGAAAGCAGGGGAUCUUCGGACCUUGCGCGAUUGAAUGAGCCGAUGUCGGAUUAGCUAGUUGGCGGGGUAAAGGCCCACCAAGGCGACGAUCCGUAGCUGGUCUGAGAGGAUGAUCAGCCACACUGGAACUGAGACACGGUCCAGACUCCUACGGGAGGCAGCAGUGGGGAAAAUUGGACAAUGGGCGCAAGCCUGAUCCCGCCAUACCGCGUGGGUGAAGAAGGCCUUCGGGUUGUAAAGCCCUUUUGUUGGGAAAGAAAAGCAGCAGGUUAAUACCCCGCUGUUCUGACGGUACCCAAAGAAUAAGCACCGGCUAACUUCGUG